CAGUCGCCGCGGGAAUACAGAGGGUGCGAGCGUUAAUCGGAUUUACUGGGCGUAAAGCGUGCGUAGGCGGCUUUUUAAGUCGGAUGUGAAAUCCCUGAGCUUAACUUAGGAAUUGCAUUCGAUACUGGGAAGCUAGAGUAUGGGAGAGGAUGGUAGAAUUCCAGGUGUAGCGGUGAAAUGCGUAGAGAUCUGGAGGAAUACCGAUGGCGAAGGCAGCCAUCUGGCCUAAUACUGACGCUGAGGUACGAAAGCAUGGGGAGCAAACAGGAUUAGAUACCCGUGUAGUCCCUGUCUCUUAUAA
RNAcentral lists this ribosomal RNA (301 nucleotides) under uncultured bacterium. RNAcentral's name for it is "partial 16S ribosomal RNA". It matches the Rfam family "Bacterial small subunit ribosomal RNA", at positions 509 to 809 of the family's 1533-position model. The record is from RNAcentral.